CAGUAGCCGCGGUAAUACGUAGGGUGCGAGCGUUAAUCGGAAUUACUGGGCGUAAAGCGUGCGCGGGCGGUUGUGUAAGACAGGUGUGAAAUCCCCGGGCUUAACCUGGGAACUGCGCUUGUGACUGCACAGCUAGAGUAUGGCAGAGGGGGGUGGAAUUCCACGUGUAGCAGUGAAAUGCGUAGAGAUGUGGAGGAACACCGAUGGCGAAGGCAGCCCCCUGGGCCAAUACUGACGCUCAUGCACGAAAGCGUGGGGAGCAAACAGGAUUAGAUACCCCCGUAGUCCCUGUCUCUUAUAC
RNAcentral lists this ribosomal RNA (301 nucleotides) under uncultured bacterium. RNAcentral's name for it is "partial 16S ribosomal RNA". It matches the Rfam family "Bacterial small subunit ribosomal RNA", at positions 509 to 807 of the family's 1533-position model. The record is from RNAcentral.